GAUCUGACCACAAAGAAGAUUGUGCUAAGGCUGGAAUGUGUUGAGCCUAACUGCAGAUCCAAGAGGAUGCUGGCCCUUAAGAGAUGCAAGCAUUUUGAACUGGGAGGAGAUAAGAAGAGAAAGGGCCAAGUGAUCCAGUUCUAAACUUUGGGAUAUUUUUCUUUUAAUUUUGAAGAGACAAUGUUGAAGCCAUAGAAAAAUUACCUGAGGGAAAAGAAACACAGUGAUAUGCUU
Long non-coding RNA from Cercocebus atys (sooty mangabey), 234 nucleotides. RefSeq lists it as uncharacterized. The transcript is spliced from 3 exons. NCBI's taxonomy places the organism in Eukaryota, Metazoa, Chordata, Mammalia, Primates, Cercopithecidae. The record is from RefSeq and is a predicted model, not a curated record.